GACAGAGGGUGCAAACGUUGUUCGGAAUUACUGGGCGUAAAGCGCGUGUAGGCUGCUCGGAAAGUCGGAUGUGAAAGCCCUGGGCUUAACCUAGGAAGUGCAUUCGAAACUUCCGAGCUGGAGUUCUGGAGAGGAAGGCGGAAUUCUCGGUGUAGAGGUGAAAUUCGUAGAUAUCGAGAGGAACACCGGUGGCGAAGGCGGCCGUCUGGACAGUGACUGACGCUGAGACGCGAAAGCGUGGGGAGCAAACAGG
This 253-nucleotide ribosomal RNA is filed under the name uncultured bacterium. RNAcentral describes it as "partial 16S ribosomal RNA". It matches the Rfam family "Bacterial small subunit ribosomal RNA", at positions 524 to 776 of the family's 1533-position model. The record is from RNAcentral.